AGCGAACGCUGGCGGCAGGCCUAACACAUGCAAGUCGAACGAACCUUUCGGGGUUAGUGGCGGACGGGUGAGUAACACGUGGGAACGUGCCUUUAGGUUCCGAAUAACUCAGGGAAACUUGUGCUAAUACCGAAUGUGCCCUUCGGGGGAAAGAUUAAUCGCCUUUAGAGCGGCCCGCGUCUGAUUAGCUAGUUGGUUGAGGUAAUGGCUCACCAAGGCGACGAUCAGUAGCUGGUCUGAGAGGAUGAUCAGCCACAUUGGGACUGAGACACGGCCCAAACUCCUACGGGAGGCAGCAGUGGGGAAUCUUGCGCAAUGGGCGAAAGCCUGACGCAGCCAUGCCGCGUGAAUGAUGAAGGUCUUAGGAUUGUAAAAUUCUUUCACCGGGGACGAUAAUGACGGUACCCGGAGAAGAAGCCCCGGCUAACUUCGUG
This 434-nucleotide ribosomal RNA is filed under the name uncultured bacterium. RNAcentral's name for it is "partial 16S ribosomal RNA". It matches the Rfam family "Bacterial small subunit ribosomal RNA", at positions 29 to 507 of the family's 1533-position model. The record is from RNAcentral.